RNAcentral lists this long non-coding RNA (199 nucleotides) under Carica papaya (papaya). Its description in RNAcentral is "long non-coding RNA (CPAP_LNC001068)". Lineage: Eukaryota; Viridiplantae; Streptophyta; Magnoliopsida; Brassicales; Caricaceae. The record is from RNAcentral.
AGUUUGUCUUCUAUGUUUAUGUUAAAUGGUGAGUUGGACCAAUAUCUCACAGAAACACUUGUGCUAAACCAAGGAAUAGUAAUUACAAGGUAAAUGUUAAUGGGGUAAAGACUUAAGCUUUUAACUAAUACAAACCUCAUUGAGAUCUUCUGUAGUCUUAACUUAUACAUGGCUUACUCCAUCAGGUCCCAUAUUCUAG